AUGGAAAUAGGAAAUAAGGUUUACCUAAAUAACAUUGAGCAGAUAGAUGAAAAAUCGCAUAUCAAGGUUCGGGUGCUUAAAAUUUGGAACUUUGUCAGAAAUAAUAAAGUUUGUUCGAUUGAAAUGAUCAUCAUGGACGAGGAGGGUACACAAUACCAAGCUCGUGUCUUCAAUCAAAAUUUCUCCAGAUUUCGUCAUCUUUUAAAGGAAGAUGAAAGUUAUAUAGUUAUAAAACCUAAUAUGGCUGCUGUUACUAAUGGUUUUAGUUAUACAGGUCAUAAACAGACCUUAACUUUGGAUUGGAAAAGCAUCCUAAAAAAAUGUGAUGAUUUCUCGGGUCCGGUCAAUGGAUUUAUGUUUGUUGACUUUAAUUGUAUCAUAGAACAAACAUGCCCAAGAGACACAUUCUUUGAUGUUAUUGGACAUAUCGUGUCAUUUAGGCCUCUUGAAACUUCAAAUCCAGCACCAUCCAAGCAUUAUAUAAAACUCACUCUUAGCAACCUAGAUUCUGUACAUCUGAAGGUUACUAUUUUUGGAAGUCAAGCAUAUCAGAUUUCAGAAUACCUAAAAAAUAACCCGACGGUUAAUUUUGUUGUUAUCGUGAUGCAGUUUUUUAAGCUAAACAUUUGGAAUGGUCUUGGUGAAGCUAAAAGUCAUUUUGAAGUAACGAAAUUAUUCAUAAAUUCUGACAUUUAUGAAAUAAUGAGUUUAAAAAUAAGUUAGUUUCCAAUUAUGACUUUAAGGGCAAUUUUCCAUUAAAAACAGUCUGUGAGAUCACCGAACCAAUUAAGGAAAUGAAGUUUUUAUUAGUUGCUUUCAUUGUUAAUAUAAGGCAGAAUCUACCAUGGUAUUAUGAAGCAUGCAAAAAAUGUGGAAAAAAAAUUAUCCCUGUUCCCAAAACCAAUCAUUCGUAUACCAAACCUGAGGGAAUUUCAGAAACUAUGGUUGUCGAGUGUACAAAUGCACAAUGCAAAAAAUCUGAAUUUCAGUAUAUAAUUCCAAUUAAUGUACAAGAUUGUACUGGAACCAUUGGAUUGACUCUUUUUGAUAGGGAAGCAAGGAGGUUGUUAAAUAUAAGUGCCUACGAGUUGAAAAAGAUAGAUGAUGCGGCCGGAGACAGUGAUGCCCUAUUUCCAAUGCAACUUAACGUGUUGAAAAACCGCAAGUUUGCUUUUGUUGUAGAUAUUACAGAAUACAAUGUCAACAACUAUAAUAACAUCUACACAGUUCUCAGAGUUACAGAAGAUAUGUCCAUUGUUUCUGAAUUAGAAAGUAAAAUAGAACUUAUGAGUAUUCAAUCUGUCUCCUUAAAUCAAGUUGCUUUGGAAUCCAAUGAUGUUGUACAGCCUGUUCAAAAGGAUGUGAUCUCACAAACAGACGAAAGUUUUACACCCUCAACAGUUGAUAAGUCAACCGCAACAAGUCCAAGCAAAAUAUCAUGUGAUUUGAAGCGCAACCUCCAAGAAAUUUAUGAUGUUGAUUCUGGAUAUGAUUUAAGUUCAACUAAGGCUAAAAGAAUUUCAACCGCAGAGGAAACUCCACUUUUGAUUCCAAAAAAGGAAAAGUGA
RNA transcript from Lactuca sativa (garden lettuce), 1568 nucleotides. It is a transcript of the gene named replication protein A 70 kDa DNA-binding subunit A, with no coding region annotated. NCBI's taxonomy places the organism in Eukaryota, Viridiplantae, Streptophyta, Magnoliopsida, Asterales, Asteraceae. The record is from RefSeq and is a predicted model, not a curated record.